Molecule: small RNA, 122 nt
Filed under: unclassified sequences
Description: DUF3268 RNA
Rfam family: DUF3268 RNA
Source: Rfam by way of RNAcentral
CGGUUCCGCUUGCGAGCAGGCUUUCGGUACGAAUAGGGGCAGGCACCCAUCGUCAACACACCCAGCGAAGGUGUGGAACCGUUACGGAUCUUAGAGAAGAAAGAAUCCAGAUACUGCAAGCG